This 88-nucleotide transfer RNA is filed under the name Streptococcus merionis. It matches the Rfam family "tRNA". From Rfam's summary of the family: Transfer RNA (tRNA) molecules are approximately 80 nucleotides in length. The record is from Rfam by way of RNAcentral. Lineage: Bacteria; Bacillati; Bacillota; Bacilli; Lactobacillales; Streptococcaceae.
GGAGAAUUACUCAAGUGGCUUAAGAGGCCACCUUGGAAAGGUGGUAGGUCGUGUAAGCGGUGCGUGGGUUCGAAUCCCAUGUUCUCCU